AAAAAUGGACAUCAAAUGGAUGAAAUAGAAUAUUUUUAAGCUAGGGGCAUUUUGGUAAUCUAGUAAUUAAAAUGGAUUAAAAACAAAAUUAAAAGCCAAUUUUUGUCUAUCUUCUAUCCCAUGGCCGAAACUUGCAUGGAGAAGACAUAUCUAGGGUUUUUCAAGCUUCCAAGCUCGAUUGUAAGUCCAUUCUAGCCCUAUUUUUAAUGAUUUUUACGUUUUUGAAAUCCUCGUAACAAGAUCUACU
Molecule: long non-coding RNA, 247 nt
Filed under: Gossypium barbadense (sea-island cotton)
Lineage: Eukaryota; Viridiplantae; Streptophyta; Magnoliopsida; Malvales; Malvaceae
Description: long non-coding RNA (GBAR_LNC007141)
Source: RNAcentral